This 2931-nucleotide ribosomal RNA is filed under the name Escherichia coli. RNAcentral's name for it is "23S ribosomal RNA". It matches the Rfam family "Bacterial large subunit ribosomal RNA". Lineage: Bacteria; Pseudomonadati; Pseudomonadota; Gammaproteobacteria; Enterobacterales; Enterobacteriaceae. The record is from RNAcentral.
GGGUUGUGAGGUUAAGCGACUAAGCGUACACGGUGGAUGCCCUGGCAGUCAGAGGCGAUGAAGGACGUGCUAAUCUGCGAUAAGCGUCGGUAAGGUGAUAUGAACCGUUAUAACCGGCGAUUUCCGAAUGGGGAAACCCAGUGUGAUUCGUCACACUAUCAUUAACUGAAUCCAUAGGUUAAUGAGGCGAACCGGGGGAACUGAAACAUCUAAGUACCCCGAGGAAAAGAAAUCAACCGAGAUUCCCCCAGUAGCGGCGAGCGAACGGGGAGCAGCCCAGAGCCUGAAUCAGUGUGUGUGUUAGUGGAAGCGUCUGGAAAGGCGCGCGAUACAGGGUGACAGCCCCGUACACAAAAAUGCACAUGCUGUGAGCUCGAUGAGUAGGGCGGGACACGUGGUAUCCUGUCUGAAUAUGGGGGGACCAUCCUCCAAGGCUAAAUACUCCUGACUGACCGAUAGUGAACCAGUACCGUGAGGGAAAGGCGAAAAGAACCCCGGCGAGGGGAGUGAAAAAGAACCUGAAACCGUGUACGUACAAGCAGUGGGAGCACGCUUAGGCGUGUGACUGCGUACCUUUUGUAUAAUGGGUCAGCGACUUAUAUUCUGUAGCAAGGUUAACCGAAUAGGGGAGCCGAAGGGAAACCGAGUCUUAACUGGGCGUUAAGUUGCAGGGUAUAGACCCGAAACCCGGUGAUCUAGCCAUGGGCAGGUUGAAGGUUGGGUAACACUAACUGGAGGACCGAACCGACUAAUGUUGAAAAAUUAGCGGAUGACUUGUGGCUGGGGGUGAAAGGCCAAUCAAACCGGGAGAUAGCUGGUUCUCCCCGAAAGCUAUUUAGGUAGCGCCUCGUGAAUUCAUCUCCGGGGGUAGAGCACUGUUUCGGCAAGGGGGUCAUCCCGACUUACCAACCCGAUGCAAACUGCGAAUACCGGAGAAUGUUAUCACGGGAGACACACGGCGGGUGCUAACGUCCGUCGUGAAGAGGGAAACAACCCAGACCGCCAGCUAAGGUCCCAAAGUCAUGGUUAAGUGGGAAACGAUGUGGGAAGGCCCAGACAGCCAGGAUGUUGGCUUAGAAGCAGCCAUCAUUUAAAGAAAGCGUAAUAGCUCACUGGUCGAGUCGGCCUGCGCGGAAGAUGUAACGGGGCUAAACCAUGCACCGAAGCUGCGGCAGCGACGCUUAUGCGUUGUUGGGUAGGGGAGCGUUCUGUAAGCCUGCGAAGGUGUGCUGUGAGGCAUGCUGGAGGUAUCAGAAGUGCGAAUGCUGACAUAAGUAACGAUAAAGCGGGUGAAAAGCCCGCUCGCCGGAAGACCAAGGGUUCCUGUCCAACGUUAAUCGGGGCAGGGUGAGUCGACCCCUAAGGCGAGGCCGAAAGGCGUAGUCGAUGGGAAACAGGUUAAUAUUCCUGUACUUGGUGUUACUGCGAAGGGGGGACGGAGAAGGCUAUGUUGGCCGGGCGACGGUUGUCCCGGUUUAAGCGUGUAGGCUGGUUUUCCAGGCAAAUCCGGAAAAUCAAGGCUGAGGCGUGAUGACGAGGCACUACGGUGCUGAAGCAACAAAUGCCCUGCUUCCAGGAAAAGCCUCUAAGCAUCAGGUAACAUCAAAUCGUACCCCAAACCGACACAGGUGGUCAGGUAGAGAAUACCAAGGCGCUUGAGAGAACUCGGGUGAAGGAACUAGGCAAAAUGGUGCCGUAACUUCGGGAGAAGGCACGCUGAUAUGUAGGUGAAGCGACUUGCUCGUGGAGCUGAAAUCAGUCGAAGAUACCAGCUGGCUGCAACUGUUUAUUAAAAACACAGCACUGUGCAAACACGAAAGUGGACGUAUACGGUGUGACGCCUGCCCGGUGCCGGAAGGUUAAUUGAUGGGGUUAGCGCAAGCGAAGCUCUUGAUCGAAGCCCCGGUAAACGGCGGCCGUAACUAUAACGGUCCUAAGGUAGCGAAAUUCCUUGUCGGGUAAGUUCCGACCUGCACGAAUGGCGUAAUGAUGGCCAGGCUGUCUCCACCCGAGACUCAGUGAAAUUGAACUCGCUGUGAAGAUGCAGUGUACCCGCGGCAAGACGGAAAGACCCCGUGAACCUUUACUAUAGCUUGACACUGAACAUUGAGCCUUGAUGUGUAGGAUAGGUGGGAGGCUUUGAAGUGUGGACGCCAGUCUGCAUGGAGCCGACCUUGAAAUACCACCCUUUAAUGUUUGAUGUUCUAACGUGGACCCGUAAUCCGGGUUGCGGACAGUGUCUGGUGGGUAGUUUGACUGGGGCGGUCUCCUCCUAAAGAGUAACGGAGGAGCACGAAGGUUGGCUAAUCCUGGUCGGACAUCAGGAGGUUAGUGCAAUGGCAUAAGCCAGCUUGACUGCGAGCGUGACGGCGCGAGCAGGUGCGAAAGCAGGUCAUAGUGAUCCGGUGGUUCUGAAUGGAAGGGCCAUCGCUCAACGGAUAAAAGGUACUCCGGGGAUAACAGGCUGAUACCGCCCAAGAGUUCAUAUCGACGGCGGUGUUUGGCACCUCGAUGUCGGCUCAUCACAUCCUGGGGCUGAAGUAGGUCCCAAGGGUAUGGCUGUUCGCCAUUUAAAGUGGUACGCGAGCUGGGUUUAGAACGUCGUGAGACAGUUCGGUCCCUAUCUGCCGUGGGCGCUGGAGAACUGAGGGGGGCUGCUCCUAGUACGAGAGGACCGGAGUGGACGCAUCACUGGUGUUCGGGUUGUCAUGCCAAUGGCACUGCCCGGUAGCUAAAUGCGGAAGAGAUAAGUGCUGAAAGCAUCUAAGCACGAAACUUGCCCCGAGAUGAGUUCUCCCUGACCCUUUAAGGGUCCUGAAGGAACGUUGAAGACGACGACGUUGAUAGGCCGGGUGUGUAAGCGCAGCGAUGCGUUGAGCUAACCGGUACUAAUGAACCGUGAGGCUUAACCUUACAACGCCGAAGGUGUUU